RNAcentral lists this ribosomal RNA (273 nucleotides) under uncultured Pseudomonadales bacterium. RNAcentral's name for it is "partial 16S ribosomal RNA". It matches the Rfam family "Bacterial small subunit ribosomal RNA", at positions 502 to 774 of the family's 1533-position model. Lineage: Bacteria; Pseudomonadati; Pseudomonadota; Gammaproteobacteria; Pseudomonadales. The record is from RNAcentral.
CUUGUGCCAGCCGCCGCGGUAAUACAGAGGGUGCAAGCGUUAAUCGGAAUUACUGGGCGUAAAGCGCGCGUAGGUGGUUCGUUAAGUUGGAUGUGAAAUCCCCGGGCUCAACCUGGGAACUGCAUUCAAAACUGACGAGCUAGAGUAUGGUAGAGGGUGGUGGAAUUUCCUGUGUAGCGGUGAAAUGCGUAGAUAUAGGAAGGAACACCAGUGGCGAAGGCGACCACCUGGACUGAUACUGACACUGAGGUGCGAAAGCGUGGGGAGCAAACA